GCUCCUUUAGCUCAGUUGGUAGAGCGUCAGUCUCAUAGGCUAAUACCUCAAGUUAUCUGAAGGUCGAGAGUUCGAACCUCCCAGGGAGCA
Transfer RNA from Nadsonia fulvescens var. elongata DSM 6958, 90 nucleotides. It matches the Rfam family "tRNA". Rfam says of the family: Transfer RNA (tRNA) molecules are approximately 80 nucleotides in length. The record is from Rfam. Lineage: Eukaryota; Fungi; Ascomycota; Dipodascomycetes; Dipodascales.